ACCAAUUGUUCGCCAAAUAACUACGAGUAAAAACUUAAAAUUUAAAAGACUUGACGGUACCUCAAAACAACCUAGAGGAGCCUGUCAAAUAACCGAUACUCCACGAUUAACCCAACCCCCCCUAGCCCCAACAGUCUAUAUACCGCCGUCGCCAGCCUACCUUAUGAAAGAAACAAAGUAAGCUAACUAACCACCACGCUAGCACGACAGGUCGAGGUGUAACUCAUGGGUGGGUCCAAGAUGGGCUACAUUUUCUCUCACAGAAAAUACAGAUGAAACUAUGAAACUAGAAACUAAAGGCGGAUUUAGCAGUACAACAAGAACAAAAUGCUUGAUCGAAGAUAACGCAAUGAGGUGCGUACACACCGCCCGUCAUCCCUGCCUAAUCAACAAAACUUUUAUAAACAAAAACCUACUACCCAAGCAGGGCAAGUCGUAACA
Molecule: ribosomal RNA, 441 nt
Filed under: Leptodrymus pulcherrimus
Lineage: Eukaryota; Metazoa; Chordata; Lepidosauria; Squamata; Colubridae
Description: partial 12S ribosomal RNA
Source: RNAcentral